UAUUCACCAAUUUUUAUCUAUUAUUUUUAUAUUUUGGACUGUAGCAAUUUAAGAGAAAUGUACAAAGCAAUGUGGUCUCCUUCAUAAGGCCCCAACUCUUGAGUGUGUACAUAUCAUUUCCUGUCCAUUUCACAGAGGCAAAUGGAAAACAGAUGGGGGACCUACAUAACAUUUCUAUCACUAACUGAUAAGAAAGAGACUGCAUGGAAAUACUAUUUGUGUAUUAUCAUGAUUAUUACUUAAUUAAAUAGAG
This 253-nucleotide long non-coding RNA is filed under the name Mytilus galloprovincialis (Mediterranean mussel). Lineage: Eukaryota; Metazoa; Mollusca; Bivalvia; Mytilida; Mytilidae. The record is from RNAcentral.